This 406-nucleotide ribosomal RNA is filed under the name uncultured bacterium. RNAcentral describes it as "partial 16S ribosomal RNA". It matches the Rfam family "Bacterial small subunit ribosomal RNA", at positions 30 to 526 of the family's 1533-position model. The record is from RNAcentral.
AUUGAACGCUGGCGGCAGGCUUAACACAUGCAAGUGAAGUAAAGUGGCGAACGGGUGAGUAACGCGUAUCAACCUGCCCUUCAGCGGGGGAUAACAGUUGGAACCGACUCCUAAUACCGCUUACUGAAUGACGGGAUUGCGUCUGAUUAGCUCGUUGGAGGGGUAACGGCCCACCAAGGCGAUGAUCAGUAGCUGGUCUGAGAGGAGGACCAGCCACACUGGAACUGAGACACGGUCCAGACUCCUACGGGAGGCAGCAGUGGGGAAUAUUGCACAAUGGGCGCAAGCCUGAUGCAGCCAUGCCGCGUGUAUGAAGAAGGCCUUCGGGUUGUAAAGUACUUUCAGCGGGGAGGCGUUACCCGCAGAAGAAGCACCGGCUAACUCCGGCCAGCAGCCGCGGUAAUAC